RNAcentral lists this ribosomal RNA (602 nucleotides) under uncultured bacterium. Its description in RNAcentral is "bacterial SSU rRNA". It matches the Rfam family "Bacterial small subunit ribosomal RNA", at positions 1 to 563 of the family's 1533-position model. The record is from RNAcentral.
CAGCCGGUACUCCGAAUGCUCUAUGAUUAUGAGUUUGAUCAUUGGCUCAGUAGUNAACGCUGGCGGUAGUGCCUAACACAUGCAAGUCGAACGGCAGCACAGGAGAGCUUGCUCUCUGGGUGGCGAGUGGCGGACGGGUGAGGAAUACAUCGGAAUCUACUCUGUCGUGGGGGAUAACGUAGGAAACUUACGCUAAUACCGCAUACGACCUACGGGUGAAAGCAGGGGAUCUUCGGACCUUGCGCGAUUGAAUGAGCCGAUGUCGGAUUAGCUAGUUGGCGGGGUAAAGGCCCACCAAGGCGACGAUCCGUAGCUGGUCUGAUAGGAUGAUCAGCCACACUGGAACUGAGACACGGUCCAGACUCCUACGGGAGGCAGCAGUGGGGAAUAUUGGACAAUGGGCGCAAGCCUGAUCCAGCCAUACCGCGUGGGUGAAGAAGGCCUUCGGGUUGUAAAGCCCUUUUGUUGGGAAAGAAAUCCAGCCGGCUAAUACCUGGUUGGGAUGACGGUACCCAAGAGAAUAAGCACCGGGCUAACUUCGUUGCCAGUCAGCCGCGGUAAUACGAAGGGUGCAAGCGGUUACUCGGAAUUACUGGGCGUAA